UGGGGAGCCUGCCCCAUAGUCUGGGAUACCACUUGGAAACAGGUGCUAAUACCGGAUAAGAAAGCGGAUCGCAUGAUCAGCUUUUAAAAGGCGGCGUAAGCUGUCGCUAUGGGAUGGCCCCGCGGUGCAUUAGCUAGUUGGUAAGGUAAAGGCUUACCAAGGCGAUGAUGCAUAGCCGAGUUGAGAGACUGAUCGGCCACAUUGGACUGAGACACGGCCCAAACUCCUACGGGAGGCAGCAGAA
RNAcentral lists this ribosomal RNA (244 nucleotides) under uncultured Lactobacillus sp. Its description in RNAcentral is "partial 16S ribosomal RNA". It matches the Rfam family "Bacterial small subunit ribosomal RNA", at positions 118 to 354 of the family's 1533-position model. Lineage: Bacteria; Bacillati; Bacillota; Bacilli; Lactobacillales; Lactobacillaceae. The record is from RNAcentral.